GACGAACGCUGGCGGCGUGCUUAACACAUGCAAGUGGAGCGACGAACCGGGGCUUGCCCCGGGGCAGAGCCGCGAACGGGUGAGUAACACGUGGGUAACCUGCCUCAAUGAUUGGGACAACCCGGGGAAACUCGGGCUAAUACCAAAUGUGUUCACUCCUUCUAAGGGGAGUGAGGAAAGGAAGCUUCGGCCUCCGCAUUGAGAUGGGCCCGCGGCCCAUUAGCUUGUUGGUGAGGUAACGGCUCACCAAGGCUUCGAUGGGUAGCUGGUCUGAGAGGACGAUCAGCCACACUGGGACUGAGACACGGCCCAGACUCCUACGGAGGCAGCAGUGGGAAUCUUGCACAAUGCGCGAAAGCGUGAUGCAGCAACGCCGCGUGGGGAAGACGGCCUCCGGGUUGUAAACCCCUUUCAGUUGGACGAAGCGUUCGUCGGUGAAUAGCCGGUUGGAGUGACGGUACCUUCAGAAGAAGCCCCGGCUAACUACGUGCCAGCAGCCGCGGU
RNAcentral lists this ribosomal RNA (504 nucleotides) under uncultured bacterium. RNAcentral's name for it is "bacterial SSU rRNA". It matches the Rfam family "Bacterial small subunit ribosomal RNA", at positions 28 to 521 of the family's 1533-position model. The record is from RNAcentral.